Equus asinus (donkey) is the source of this 104-nucleotide small nuclear RNA. Lineage: Eukaryota; Metazoa; Chordata; Mammalia; Perissodactyla; Equidae. The record is from Ensembl.
GUGCUCACUUUGGCAGCACAUAUAUUAAAAUUGAAACAAUACAAAGAUUGGCAUGGUCCUUGCACAAGGAAGACACGCAAAUUCGUGAAGUGUUCCAUAUUUUU